Molecule: transfer RNA, 69 nt
Filed under: Sundadanio axelrodi 'blue'
Lineage: Eukaryota; Metazoa; Chordata; Actinopteri; Cypriniformes; Sundadanionidae
Description: tRNA-Glu
Rfam family: tRNA
About the family: Transfer RNA (tRNA) molecules are approximately 80 nucleotides in length.
Source: RNAcentral
GUUCUUAUAGUUGAAUAACAACGGUGGUUCUUCAAGUCAUUGGUCUCGGUUCAAAUCCGAGUGGGAAUU